AUGGUUGUCGUCAGCUCGUGUCGUGAGAUGUUGGUUAAGUCCCGCAACGAGACGCAACCCCUACGUUUAGUUGCUAACGCGUGAAGGCGAGCACUCUAGACGAACUGCCGUUGACAAAACGGAGGAAGGUGGGGAGUGACGUCAAAUCAUCAUGCCCCUUAUGUUCUGGGCUACACACGUGCUACAAUGGCCGGUACAGACGGACGCAAAGCCGCGAGGUGGAGCAAAUCCUAAAAAGCCGGUCUCAGUUCGGAUUGCAGGCUGCAAUUCGCCUGCAUGAAGUCGGAAUCGCUAGUAAUCGCAGGUCAGCAUACUGCGGUGAAUACGUUCCCGGGCCUU
This 339-nucleotide ribosomal RNA is filed under the name uncultured Pelotomaculum sp. RNAcentral describes it as "bacterial SSU rRNA". It matches the Rfam family "Bacterial small subunit ribosomal RNA", at positions 1045 to 1382 of the family's 1533-position model. The record is from RNAcentral. Lineage: Bacteria; Bacillati; Bacillota; Clostridia; Eubacteriales; Desulfotomaculaceae.